Molecule: non-coding RNA, 56 nt
Filed under: Streptomyces bingchenggensis BCW-1
Lineage: Bacteria; Bacillati; Actinomycetota; Actinomycetes; Kitasatosporales; Streptomycetaceae
Source: RNAcentral
CCCGUUAUCCUUUGACGAAAGCCCUGUCGCCCCCGGCAGGUGGAGACCCGAGGAGC